RNAcentral lists this ribosomal RNA (460 nucleotides) under uncultured bacterium. Its description in RNAcentral is "partial 16S ribosomal RNA". It matches the Rfam family "Bacterial small subunit ribosomal RNA", at positions 338 to 795 of the family's 1533-position model. The record is from RNAcentral.
CCUACGGGCGGCAGCAGUGAGGAAUAUUGGUCAAUGGACGAGAGUCUGAACCAGCCAAGUAGCGUGAAGGAUGACUGCCCUAUGGGUUGUAAACUUCUUUUAUAUGGGAAUAAAAUGUUCCACGUGUGGGAUUUUGUAUGUACCAUAUGAAUAGGGAUCGGCUAACUCCGUGCCAGCAGCCGCGGUAAUACGGAGGAUCCGAGCGUUAUCCGGAUUUAUUGGGUUUAAAGGGAGCGUAGGUGGAUUGUUAAGUCAGUUGUGAAAGUUUGCGGCUCAACCGUAAAAUUGCAGUUGAAACUGGCAGUCUUGAGUACAGUAGAGGUGGGCGGAAUUCGUGGUGUAGCGGUGAAAUGCUUAGAUAUCACGAGGAACUCCGAUUGCGAAGGCAGUUCACUGGACUGCAACUGACACUGAGGCUCGAAAGUGUGGGUAUCAAACAGGAUUAGAUACCCGGGUAGUC